UCGAGGGCAUAGUGGUUAGCGCGUUUGGCUCGCACCUCCAGGGCUGGGGGUUCGAUUCCCACCUCUAU
Molecule: non-coding RNA, 68 nt
Organism: Ameiurus melas (black bullhead)
Lineage: Eukaryota; Metazoa; Chordata; Actinopteri; Siluriformes; Ictaluridae
Source: the annotation of a GenBank genome assembly